RNAcentral lists this unclassified non-coding RNA (476 nucleotides) under Hevea brasiliensis (rubber tree). The record is from RNAcentral. Lineage: Eukaryota; Viridiplantae; Streptophyta; Magnoliopsida; Malpighiales; Euphorbiaceae.
AUUUGGGAUUUGAUAGUUAAAGGUAUGUUGAAUUUUCAGGUAUUUUGUUUCUUAAUUUUUGAUCUCCAUCUAGCGAACGAACUUGUUCGGUUUUUGGUCAUGUAAGCACUGUUUGGUUGGUGAGAAAAUGUGGGAAAGAUAAGGAAAGUGAAUGUUUUGAUAUAUGUUGAUGUGAAAUGCUUAAAACUCCACUUAACUAUCUCCUUUUGAGUUGUUCAGAGUUCAUAUAGACGAAUGUAAGAGGAAGAUGGGUCUCCGAUUUUUUUCUUUUUUCAUUCUUUUAUUAAAUUUCAUAUCUGUGGUAAUUCUCUCUGUUUUCUCUCAGUAAAUCAUAGGAUCAGAUUAGAUACUUACCUGGAUCUCUUGAGUUUGUAUUCGUUUCUUUAGGAACUUUGAAUCAGCUUGUGAUUUUUUUGUUUAGUUUUAGAUUUUGAGUUCUGACCUUUUUUCUUCAAAUCUGAGAGAGAGAGAGAGAG